UGGGUAAUGAAGUUAAAAAAG
Non-coding RNA from Caenorhabditis elegans, 21 nucleotides. The record is from Ensembl. NCBI's taxonomy places the organism in Eukaryota, Metazoa, Nematoda, Chromadorea, Rhabditida, Rhabditidae.